Molecule: non-coding RNA, 507 nt
Filed under: Selaginella moellendorffii
Lineage: Eukaryota; Viridiplantae; Streptophyta; Lycopodiopsida; Selaginellales; Selaginellaceae
Description: rRNA SSU_rRNA_eukarya
Rfam family: Eukaryotic small subunit ribosomal RNA
Source: Rfam by way of RNAcentral
AAAGUUGUUGCAGUUAAAAAGCUCGUAGUUGGAUCUCGGGACGGGGCGAAUGGUCCGCCCUUGCGGGUGUGCACUGGUCGCCCCGUCCUUUGAGUCGGUGACGCUACUCUGGUCUUUACUGGCUGGGGUGCGGAGUCGGCGAUGUUACUUUGAAAAAAUUAGAGUGCUCAAAGCAGGCUCGUGCUCUGAAUACAUUAGCAUGGAAUAACGCUAUAGGACUCUGGUCCUGUUGUGUUGGUCUCCGGGAUCGGAGUAAUGAUUAAUAGGGACAGUUGGGGGCAUUCGUACUCCAUUGUCAGAGGUGAAAUUCUUGGAUUUAUGGAAGACGAACUACUGCGAAAGCAUUUGCCAAGGAUGUUUUCAUUAAUCAAGAACGAAAGUUGGGGGCUCGAAGACGAUCAGAUACCGUCCUAGUCUCAACCAUAAACGAUGCCGACUAGGGAUUGGCGGAUGUUAUUUGGAUGACACCGCCAGCACCUCAUGAGAAAUCAAAGUCUUUGGGUUCCG